UCCACGCCAAUCCUUUCUCAUGGUGUGGAACCAGACUAGAUUGUGCCGGUCUCUUCGUUAAGGUCGAAAUCUGUUGUAGAAGUCGUCUGAGAGAUAGCCAUGUCGGGGCGGUAAUUCUGAACUCUAGAAGUAGGAGAUGACACCCAUGAGGAAGAUGAUAACAGGAAUGAACGAACUCAUCAUCUCUAGCAGCAAAAUGAAAACCAAGAUGCAGAAGAAAACGAGCAGUGACUUUGGUGUGCUCUUCCACAUUAUGAUGCCAUCAACCACAUCGC
Arabidopsis thaliana (thale cress) is the source of this 275-nucleotide long non-coding RNA. RefSeq annotates it as other RNA. NCBI's taxonomy places the organism in Eukaryota, Viridiplantae, Streptophyta, Magnoliopsida, Brassicales, Brassicaceae. The record is from RefSeq. The transcript has a single exon.